This 2133-nucleotide long non-coding RNA is filed under the name Mustela putorius furo (domestic ferret). RNAcentral describes it as "lncRNA (ENSMPUG00000025140.1)". Lineage: Eukaryota; Metazoa; Chordata; Mammalia; Carnivora; Mustelidae. The record is from RNAcentral.
AAAUCUCUUGCUGUCAUUUUAAUGGCCAGCUUUCAUACCUAUUCCACUAGCUCUCUGCUCUGUGGCAUGGGGACCUGGCAUCUGGGUCGUUUCUGAACGAUGGUGAUUCUUCCCAGCGCCGCUUCCUGUUGGGCCAGCCUGGGACGUUGGUUUCGGGGAGUUUCAGAGGUGUUAUCCAGGAAGAAUCAUCCAUACUCCACAAAAUGGUUAAUUGAAGAAUCACUCUACCUGAUAGCAAACAAAUCCUAUUCAGGUAAGCCAACAGCAUAAUCCCGGUCUUAAUGAGCCGUUGUCCAUCUCCAGGGAAAUGCCCCUGCAAUUGCCUGUCUAUGACCCCGCCCUGCCUGUGGCCCCACGAGCUCUGUGUUCAGCCUUGAAAACCACCCUGUGCUUGCAAUGCUCCCGCUAGUUCUCUUCUUUAACUGCUAAUCCCACAGUGCCAGGGUGAGCCUUCCCUCCAAUGCAUAUGUAUUUGAAAAUGUGUGUUACCAAACAUUUUCCUGUAAAAGGCCUGUGACUGCUUCUAAUUGUUUCUUUUCUGUACUGCUGUAGUUGGAGAGUUUAUAAAAUAUACUGUUGGCUCCUCCACAUCCUGUGAUAAGUAUGAGAGACUCUAUCUUUCCACCUUUUACUCUAGAGUUGCUCCUGAUACCUUGCUGUCUGCCUGGACCCCCUGCUACAGCAACCGUGGCUAGCCACAUCGCUCCUUCCGUUGCUUGGGGUUUGCCGUAACUGUGUAUGAAAUCCUUGGUGGCCAUAUUUUCUCAGCCAAAAUUUGGGACACAUGGCCAGCCGGGAUGACUGUACAUAUGGGUACACAGGACAUAAUAUUUCUUUCCCAGAAAACCUGAGGCAUAUGGUCUCCAUAUGUACAGAAUCUAUGGCCUCUCGCAUGUCUAUUUAUUGAUGCAUUUCUAGUCACAUGAAUAUGUAACAAUAGUAAUGUGAUUUUUAUAGUCUUGCUGUCGGGGCCUUUCCAUUUGGGAAAGAUAUUCAUCAUUUCUGCUUAUGGCAAAAUUACUUCUCAAUUUAGUGUCCAGCCUUACAUUAUAAGUUAUAUAUCUUGGAUUUGAUGCUCUAUACUGAAUAUAUUUUCUUCUAUUUUAGGGAUCUGUGCUCUGUCUAGGCCAAAAAAAAAAAAGAAAAGAAAAAAAGGCUGUGUGUAUUCAUUUGUUCUGGAAAUGUCUGUGGAGGAGGUUGCUUGAUGGGGAAUCAAUGUGGGGAAUGAUUUCAGGGAAGGUGUGUGGUGAGGAAGCUUUAGAACGUAUAUUAAGGUUUAUGAAGUUAUUUCUCUGUCAACAAACACGAGUAUUUUGAAAGGCAGAAUUGGUGAUUAAUGAGGGGAGGACAAGAAAAUGACAGAAAAUAGAAGUCGAAAUAGUGUGGAAGGUUUUUUCCCUCCCCGGCGUCUGUCCGUCAGCCUGUGCCCAGGCCAACAGCAGUGACGGGAAGUGGAGAAGACGUAUGUGAUGCCGGGGUGGGGGGGUGACGACGAGAUGUAUUUGAGAAAAGACAAGCAGAGCGGGCACACAUAUCCUGCAAGCGACAACUAACGGCGUUCCGGUAGAUGGAGAUAACCCCCACAGUCCGCAAGAGAUGAUCUCUUUGAGUGGAGGAACUGAAACGAGAAACUCCAAGAAGAAAAAUGAACACUGCGUAGCUGUUAAACGAAAUCAGGCAGGAUGCGGCUCCUUAUGGUGACAAGUGGAGCUGCCGUGACUGGCAGACCUUAGACAUCAUAGACUGACCUUCAGAUAGACAUGAAGUCCAAGUAGUGAAAGCCAGUGAGUCGGUUUCUACGACCUGUGUUUUUCAUGAUGGAGGUGCACUGCCCCGUGAGACCAGACACUCUCAGAUUCCACCUCCUGGACUUUACGCCCCCUUUUUGCAGGAGUGAAGUCAUAUUUACUUGGGCUCUUACGUGAACGGCAUCUACCCCUCCACUUCGCUGUUCACCCAUCAGUACAUCCUUCCUUCCUUCCUCCUUUCCUUCCAUUUAUCCUUCCAUUUUGUCACUUAAAGUUUUCAAAUACCUAAUGUAUGCCGGGGGCCAUGGUUGGCACAGGGAUGCAAAGCUGGGAGCUAUCAGUUCCUGUCUAGAGGUACACGGACAUUAAAGUAUUUAUGUAUGUA